UCGAGAAUCUUCGGCAAUGGGGGAAACCCUGACCGAGCGACGCCGCGUGUGGGAUGAAGGCCCUUGGGUUGUAAACCACUGUCAGAGGGGAUGAAGUGCUAGAGAGCUAUCUCUCUAGUUUGACAUAGCCUCAGAGGAAGCACGGGCUAAGUUCGUGCCAGCAGCCGCGGUAAGACGAACUGUGCAAACGUUAUUCGGAAUCACUGGGCUUGAAGAGUGCGUAGGCGGUUUCGUAAGUAGGGUGUGAAAGCCCUCGGCUCAACCGGGGAAUUGCGUCCUAAACUGCGAGGCUAGAGUGAGGUAGGGGUGUGUGGAACUUCCAGUGGAGCGGUGAAAUGUGUUGAUAUUGGAAGGAACGCCGGUGGCGAAAGCGACACACUGGACCUUGUCUGACGCUGAGGCACGAAAGCCAGGGGAGCAAACG
Molecule: ribosomal RNA, 424 nt
Filed under: uncultured bacterium
Lineage: Bacteria
Also listed under: 1 other name
Description: bacterial SSU rRNA
Rfam family: Bacterial small subunit ribosomal RNA
Source: RNAcentral